CUACGGGGGGCUCCAGUAGGGAAUAUUGGACAAUGGGCGAAAGCCUGAUCCAGCAACGCCGCGUGCACGAUGACGGCCUUCGGGUUGUAAAGUGCUUUUAGAGGAGAUGAGAAAGGACAGUAUCCUCUGAAUAAGCCUCGGCGAACUACGUGCCAGCAGCCGCGGUAAAACGUAGGAGGCAAGCGUUAUCCGGAUUUAUUGGGCGUAAAGCGCGUGCAGGCGGUUUGACAAGUUGGAUGUGAAAGCUCCCGGCUUAACUGGGAGAGGUCGGUCAAAACUGUCAGACUAGAGAAUGGGAGAGGGAGGUGGAAUUCCGGGUGUAGUGGUGAAAUGCGUAGAUAUCCGGAGGAACACCAGUGGCGAAAGCGGCCUCCUAGACCAUUUCUGACGCUAAGACGCGAAAGCUAGGGUAGCAAACGGGAUUAGAUACCCCUGUAGUC
This 440-nucleotide ribosomal RNA is filed under the name uncultured bacterium. Its description in RNAcentral is "partial 16S ribosomal RNA". It matches the Rfam family "Bacterial small subunit ribosomal RNA", at positions 339 to 795 of the family's 1533-position model. The record is from RNAcentral.